GACGAACGCUGGCGGCGUGCCUAAUACAUGCAAGUCGAACGAGAGCGCCCGGUGCUUGCACUGGUCAAUCUAGUGGCGAACGGGUGAGUAACACGUGGGUAACCUGCUCAUCAGAGGGGGAUAACAUCCGGAAACGGAUGCUAAAACCGCAUAGGUCUUCGAGCCGCAUGGCUUGAAGAGGAAAAGAGGCGCAAGCUUCUGCUGAUAGAUGGACCCGCGGUGCAUUAGCUAGUUGGUGAGGUAACGGCUCACCAAGGCCGUGAUGCAUAGCCGACCUGAGAGGGUGAUCGGCCACAUUGGGACUGAGACACGGCCCAAACUCCUACGGGAGGCAGCAGUAGGGAAUCUUCCGCAAUGGACGCAAGUCUGACGGAGCAACGCCGCGUGAGUGAAGAAGGUUUUCGGAUCGUAAAACUCUGUUGUUAGAGAAGAACAAGUGCUAGAGUAACUGUUAGCGCCUUGACGGUAUCUAACCAGAAAGCCACGGCUAACUACGUG
RNAcentral lists this ribosomal RNA (498 nucleotides) under uncultured bacterium. RNAcentral's name for it is "partial 16S ribosomal RNA". It matches the Rfam family "Bacterial small subunit ribosomal RNA", at positions 28 to 507 of the family's 1533-position model. The record is from RNAcentral.